RNAcentral lists this ribosomal RNA (810 nucleotides) under uncultured archaeon. RNAcentral's name for it is "bacterial SSU rRNA". It matches the Rfam family "Archaeal small subunit ribosomal RNA", at positions 85 to 879 of the family's 1478-position model. The record is from RNAcentral.
ACUGCUCAGUAACACGUGGCUAACCUACCCUCAGGACGGGGACAAACCCGGGAAACUGGGGCUAAUAUCCGAUAGGCGAGGAAUCCUGGAAUGGUUCUUCACCCAAAGGACAUUGGAAACAUGCUUUCUCUGUCGCCUGGGGAUGGGGCCGCGUCCGAUCAGGUUGUUGGUGAGGUAAUGGCUCACCAAGCCUUUAACCGGUACGGGCCGUGAGAGCGGUAGCCCGGAGAUGGGUACUGAGACAAGGACCCAGGCCCUACGGGGCGCAGCAGUCGCGAAAACUCCGCAAUGCACGAAAGUGUGACGGGGCUACCCCGAGUGCCGUCCGCUGAGGAUGGCUUUUCCUUGGUGUAACUAGCCGGGGGAAUAAGGAGAGGGCAAGACUGGUGUCAGCCGCCGCGGUAAUACCAGCUCUCCGAGUGGUAGGGAUGAUUAUUGGGCUUAAAGCGUCCGUAGCCGGCUUAGCAAGUUUCCUGUUAAAUUCAGCGACCUAAUCGUUGAGCCGCGGGAAAUACUACUAGGCUAGGAGGCGGGAGAGGUCGACGGUACUUCUGGGGUAGGGGUGAAAUCCUAUAAUCCCGGGAGGACCACCAGUGGCGAAGGCUGUCGACUAGAACGCGCUCGACGGUGAGGGACGAAAGCUGGGGGAGCGAACCGGAUUAGAUACCCGGGUAGUCCCAGCUGUAAACGAUGCGGGCUAGGUGUUGGGGUGGCUACGUGCCACUUCAGUGCCGCAGGGAAGCCAUUAAGCCCGCCGCCUGGGGAGUACGGCCGCAAGGCUGAAACUUAAAGGAAUUGGCGGGGGAGCAC